Molecule: ribosomal RNA, 398 nt
Filed under: uncultured bacterium
Lineage: Bacteria
Description: bacterial SSU rRNA
Rfam family: Bacterial small subunit ribosomal RNA
Source: RNAcentral
AUUGAACGCUGGCGGCAUGCCUUACACAUGCAAGUCGAACGGCAGCACGGACUUCGGUCUGGUGGCGAGUGGCGAACGGGUGAGUAAUAUAUCGGAACAUACCUUGUAGUGGGGGAUAACUAUCCGAAAGGAUAGCUAAUACCGCAUACGAUCUAAGGAUGAAAGCGGGGGAUCUUCGGACCUCGUGCUAUAAGAGUGGCCGAUAUCUGAUUAGCUAGUUGGUGAGGUAAAGGCUCACCAAGGCGACGAUCAGUAGCUGGUCUGAGAGGACGACCAGCCACACUGGAACUGAGACACGGUCCAGACUCCUACGGGAGGCAGCAGUGGGGAAUUUUGGACAAUGGGGGCAACCCUGAUCCAGCAAUGCCGCGUGAGUGAAGAAGGCCUUCGGUUGUAAG